ACUCCCAACCCCUGUGAACAUACCACUUGUUGCCUCGGCGGAUCAGCCCGCUCCCGGUAAAACGGGACGGCCCGCCAGAGGACCCCUAAACUCUGUUUCUAUAUGUAACUUCUGAGUAAAACCAUAAAUAAAUCAAAACUUUCAACAACGGAUCUCUUGGUUCUGGCAUCGAUGAAGAACGCAGCAAAAUGCGAUAAGUAAUGUGAAUUGCAGAAUUCAGUGAAUCAUCGAAUCUUUGAACGCACAUUGCGCCCGCCAGUAUUCUGGCGGGCAUGCCUGUUCGAGCGUCAUUUCAACCCUCAAGCACAGCUUGGUGUUGGGACUCGCGUUAAUUCGCGUUCCUCAAAUUGAUUGGCGGUCACGUCGAGCUUCCAUAGCGUAGUAGUAAAACCCUCGUUACUGGUAAUCGUCGCGGCCACGCCGUUAAACCCCAACUUCUGAAUGUUGACCUCGGAUCAGGUAGGAAUACCCGCUGAACUUAAGCAUAUCAAUAAGCGAGGGAAAAAGAA
This 509-nucleotide ribosomal RNA is filed under the name Fusarium oxysporum. RNAcentral describes it as "eukaryotic LSU rRNA". The stretch from base 137 to 290 matches the Rfam family "5.8S ribosomal RNA". Lineage: Eukaryota; Fungi; Ascomycota; Sordariomycetes; Hypocreales; Nectriaceae. The record is from RNAcentral.